UGAGGAACAUGACCUUCGGCGGGGGAUAGCCGGCCCAACGGCCGGGUAAUACCGCGUACGACCUUUUGGGGACAUCCCCGAUUGGUGAAAGCAGCAAUGCGCCGAUGGAGUGCCUCGCGGCCUAUCAGCUAGUUGGUGAGGUAACGGCUCACCAAGGCGACGACGGGUAGCUGGUCUGAGAGGAUGGCCAGCCACAUUGGGACUGAGACACGGCCCAGACUCCGUACGGGAGGNAGCG
This 238-nucleotide ribosomal RNA is filed under the name uncultured bacterium. RNAcentral describes it as "partial 16S ribosomal RNA". It matches the Rfam family "Bacterial small subunit ribosomal RNA", at positions 118 to 352 of the family's 1533-position model. The record is from RNAcentral.